CCCCAUGGCAUGUGGAUGUUUCCAGACUACGGGAAUCAGAGCUGCAGCAGCCACAGCAACGCAGGAUCCGAGCUGCCUCUGUGACCUACACCAGAGCUCAUGGCAACACCGGAUCCUUAACCCACUGAACAAGGCCAGGGAUCGAACCUGGGUUCUUGUAGAUGCUAGUCAGAUUCGUUUCCACCGGGCCACUACAGGAACCCCCUAAAAUACAUUCUUAAUGUUUUUUUCCCACAAAGGCAGAAGUGGCCAGGGCCUCCGAAAGUCACAAAGUGACCCUGGCCACUCAGCACACAUCCUGGGUGUGAGCCCUAUCGGACUCUCAUUCUUAAAUCAACCUAAACAAUUCUGACACCCCACCUAGACAAGGCCCCUCUUGACAAUGUAUUGUACAUUUCUUUGGCUCUUCAGAUAUUUACUAUCUGAAUGCGGAGAAUUCUGCAUUUUUUUCAUUGGUUUGUUUAUACUAUCCCCAAAGGCAUUCAACCCUUACAUAGUUAAAACACCAUCUAAUUGAUAAAAAUUUGGAAAGUCAAUUUAUAAAGGAAGCUUUUCAAAGGGAAGAUAUGCACAGAAAAAUAGCGUUAGUCAUCAGAGACAUGAACACUGAAACCACAGUGAGACGGGAUUUCAUGCCCUGUACGGGCGUAUGAUGGGCAUGUUAAAUGACAACGCCUGGUGCUGGUGGGGGUGGGGACAACCGGGAGGGACUCCUAUGGGAGCGUCGCCCUGUGGGGGUGCAGCCACUUGAGAAGAAAGUGUUGACAGGUUCAUAGUGACCCUGUGACCCAACAAUUCCACUCCUGGCUACUUAUCCCAGAGAAAUGAAAAUAUGUGUCCACAAACAGAUUGAGAGAAGGCUCUAAGCAGCUUCAUUCGUAAUAGCCCCAAAUGGGCAACAACCUAAAAUACUCAUCCAUAGAAAAUCGAUAACCAAGCCUGAAUUAACCAAAAAAAAUUACGCUGUGCAGAUGGGCAACAGGCCUAUGAAAAGAUGGUCAACGUUGCUAAUUAUUAGAGAAAUGCAAAUUAAAACUACCAUGAGGUAUCACCUCGCCCUGAUUAUGUUGCCAGAAUUCGGCCUCUGAAACAAACCGAAAUGCAGAGACAGAGUUUUGGGUAAAGGAGAAAAAAAUAGCUUUAUUGCUUUGCCAAGCAAAGGAGGGUCACAGCAGGCUAACGCUUUAAAGACUGCCCCCCCCCCAAAAGAAUUGCGAGGAAUUUUAUAGUAAAAAGGAGAAAAACAUGUUUGCAGAUAGGAAUCGGGAUUGGGACAAGCAUGCAUUCCUCUUCCUUCAAAGCUGGAGUCAGAAACAUGAUCCCGCUGGGGGUCUCUGGGUUAUUGCCGGGAACAACAGAACUUGCGCAAAGGGCAUACUGAUCAGAGGUUAGAACAAUCUAGAAAGCUUCCUGAAAACAUCACGCACUAAUAAUCCUUCAUCCACAGGCAAUGAUGCUGGGGGUGCCUAAUCUUUAGCUUGUGGGUGAUUGUGUUUAGGGUGUAACCAAGUCAGGGAGAAGGACAAGGAAGGACGCUAAGCUGUUCAAAGCAUUCAUUUCAAAAAGAAGCGUAAGGACUAUAACUUUUCUCUCAGGGUGUGAGGCACCUGUAUCAGUUAGAGUGGCCUUCAUUUAAAAGUCUACAAAUAGCAAAUGCUGGAGAGGGUGUAGAGAAAAGGAACCCUCCUACACUCUUAGUGGGAAUGUAAGUUGGUACAUACACUAUGGAAAACAGGACUGGAUGUUCUUCGAAAAACUAAAACUGGGAGUUCCCGUCAGUUUCCACUGUAGCACAUUUGGUUGCUGAUCCGCUUGUUUCUGUGGAGGUGCCAGUUCAAUCCCCGGCCCAGUGCAGUGAGUUAAGGAUCCAGUGUUGCUACAGCUGUGGUGGAGACUGCAGCUGAGGCUCAGCAGCAAUCCCUGGCCCAGGAACUUCCAAACGCCCUGGGUGCAUCCAAGAAAGAAAAAACAAAACUGUCUGACUCCCCAGUGAGUCUGGGAGCCGGAGAGCGCAGGGACCCUCCCGCUUGCUGUCCAGGCCGGUGCUUGGCACAUGACAGACCCUGGGACAUUUUGAAUGUCCAGAUGAAUGAACAAACAUGUGACAGCAACUUGAAGAAUGAUAUACGCUCGAUACAUGUUAACGUCCUUCUUUCUAGCCUCCAGCAUAUAUUUGCUUUUAGUUUCUCUUCGUUGCAGUGUAUAGUUUGAUCAACAAAAGAAAUUAAAACUAUAGUAAAGUCUUACCCCAACAACUGAAAACAGCAUAAUAUCUGUGUACUAUUUACACAGCCUGGAGGAGCCACAAAUGCCUAAGAAAUUGCCCUCCAAAUUAGGAAAAUCUUAAUUUUCUAGACAGACAAGUGAAAAGAUGAUUAUUUUCUGAAGAUGCCUUGCAAUCAGCUGUUGUCUUACAAGUGUUUGUAGUUGCUGGCCAGGUCAGUCUUCUGUGAGUCCCUAAAAACCCACUGCUGCUCCUGAAAGGCAAUCCAAGGCCAUAUGGAAAUGAAGCCACUUCAUAAUUGCUAAAUGGUUGGUAUGGACUGGUCCUAGUUCAUUUGAAGGUUUUUAUUUCUACAUCAUUAUCGUUACAUA
This 2595-nucleotide long non-coding RNA is filed under the name Sus scrofa (pig). RNAcentral's name for it is "lncRNA (ENSSSCG00045031130.1)". Lineage: Eukaryota; Metazoa; Chordata; Mammalia; Artiodactyla; Suidae. The record is from RNAcentral.